Molecule: ribosomal RNA, 1532 nt
Filed under: metagenome
Description: bacterial LSU rRNA
Rfam family: Bacterial large subunit ribosomal RNA
Source: RNAcentral
UCGACGCAGUUAGUCGGUUCCUAAGGCGAGGCUGAAAAGCGUAGUCGAUGGAAACAGGUUAAUAUUCCUGUACUUCUGGUUACUGCGAUGGAGGACGGAGAAGCUAGGCCAGCUGGCGUUGGUUGUCCAAGUUUAAGGUGGUAGGCUGAAAUCUUAGGUAAAUCCGGGUUUCAAGGCCGAGAGCUGAUGACGAGUCGUCUUUUAGAUGACGAAGUGGUUGAUGCCAUGCUUCAAGAAAAGCUUCUAAGCUUCAGGUAACCAGGAACCGUACCCCAAACCGACACAGGUGGUCGGGUAGAAUACCAAGGCGCUUGAGAGAACUCGGGUGAAGGAACUAGGCAAAAUGGCACCGUAACUUCGGGAGAAGGUGCGCCGGCUAGGUGAAGGAUUUACUCCGUAAGCUCUGGCUGGUCGAAGAUACCAGGCCGCUGCGACUGUUUAAAAACACAGCACUCUGCAAACAACCGAGUGGACGUAUAGGGUGUGACGCCUCCCCGGUGCCGAAGGUUAAUUGAUGGGGUUAGCGCAAGCUCUUGAUCGAAGCCCCGGUAAACGGCGGCCGUAACGAUAACGGUCCUAAGGUAGCGAAAAUUCUUGUCGGGUAAGUUCCGACCUGCACGAAUGGCGUAACGAUGGCGGCGCUGUCUCCACCCGAGACUCAGUGAAAUUGAAAUCGCUGUGAAGAUGCAGUGUAUCCGCGGCUAGACGGAAAGACCCCGUGAACCCUAUACUGUAGCUUUGCACUGGACUUUGAGCCUGCUUGUGUAGGUUGGUGGGAGGCUUUGAAGCGUGGACGCCAGUUCGCGUGGAGCCAUCCUUGAAAUACCACCCUGGCAUGCUUGAGGUUCUAACUCUGGUCCGUAAUCCGGAUCGAGGACAGUGUAUGGUGGGCAGUUUGACUGGGCGGUCUCCUAAAGAGUAACGGAGGAGUACGAAGGUGCGCUCAGACCGGUCGGAAAUCGGUCGCAGAGUAUAAAGGCAAAAGCGCGCUUGACUGCGAGACAGACACGUCGAGCAGGUACGAAAAGUAGGUCUUAGUGAUCCGGUGGUUCUGUAUGGAAGGGCCAUCGCUCAACGGAUAAAAGGUACUCCGGGGUAACAGGCUGAUACCGCCCAAGAGUUCAUAUCGACGGCGGUGUUUGGCACCUCGAUGUGGCUCAUCACAUCCUGGGCUGAAGCCGGUCCCAAGGGUAUGGCUGUUCGCCAUUUAAAGUGGUACGCGAGCUGGGUUUAGAACGUCGUGAGACAGUUCGGUCCCUAUCUGCCGUGGACGUUUGAGAUUUGAGAGGGCUGCUCCUAGUACGAGGGGACCGGAGUGGACGAACCUCUGGUGUUCCGGUUGUCACGCUAGUGGCGGGUAGCUAUGUUCGGAAAAGAUAACCGCUGAAAGCAUCUAAGCGGAACUUUGCUUCAGAUGAGAUCUCACUGGGAACUUGAUUCCCUGAAGGGCCGUCGAAGACUACGACGUUGAUAGGCUGGGUGUGUAGCGUUGUGAGGCGUUGAGCUUAACCAGUACUAAUUGCCCGUGAGGC